Triticum urartu is the source of this 2585-nucleotide non-coding RNA. Lineage: Eukaryota; Viridiplantae; Streptophyta; Magnoliopsida; Poales; Poaceae. The record is from RefSeq and is a predicted model, not a curated record.
GCUCUAAGCUCUCAGGAAAUAGAGCCCUGGGACUGGGAGCGAUCUUGUGUUUUUUUUUCUCGUGAUUUCAGCUCCCCUGCUAGCGCACGAGUAUGCAACCGACGUUAGCUCACGCAACCGACGUACAACGUCUGGUCAAACUCCUCACGCCGCAUGUCCGUGUUGGGCUUGCAUUGUGCUUUGUGUUUCAAGAGAGAGAGAGAGAGAGAGAGAGAGAGAGAGAGGAGGGCUGAUUUGGGGGAGGAGGUCAACCACCGGUGCUUGGCAUCUUGGGUGAGGAUCGAUUUGGGCGAGGUGGUCGUUGGAGAGGAGGCGCCGACUUUCAGGUGGAAUGUCGUCCUUCUGUCCGUGAUCUGCCGCCGCAUCACCCAUGUCUUCGUGUGUUGCACCUGCUUCCUGCUCCAUCCCACGGGCCGGACGGUCUUGGCCUGCGACGAGUCAAUGGCCAACUGACAGCGACACAUGGAGCCUGAAGGAGCAGGCGGUGGGGGGAGCUGCAGGAGGCCAACAAGGCCCUCGCCACCGCCGCCCAUGACGCACUCCGACGGUGCUAGGCGGGAAUGUCUGUCGCGGCCAUCUUCCUUAACCGGCCAUGCAAACAAAGGAGAGGACGAGUCUGCAGUGCAAGGUCAGUUUGAGCAAGCUUGAAAAUACACACCAUAUUAUCAUGCACAUGCCGUGCAAGCUGCCGGACCGAACUGUAAUUGAACUCUGAAGGCGGGUUCGACCUGUAGCGUUGUAUUAGUACAUCCAGCCAACAUAUAAUUAUGCAAAAGUUCACUUUGUCUGUCCAGUUCAGAUUCUUCUCUAUUUCUCCGGUUCCUACUUUUUUCGGAUGCUGGGCAAUGUACUUUGUUUGUUGAAUUGCUAACGUUCCAAUCCUUCAAUUCUAGAGAAGAAUUUUGAGGAUUUCGUUCAAUCAACUGGUAAUAUGGUAAAGCUAGAAAUGAUCUCAAAUGUUUCUCAACAUAUGCACUAAAAAUAUGUAAAUUGUUGCGCCAAAAAUUACAGGGGAGCACUUAACUGUUACGCUCACAAUCCUAGGAAAACUAUUUUUUUUUGUAAUUAUCCUUUUUGUCGUUAGUAUUCCUCAAGCAACGUAUAAUGUAUAUGCACAUCUCAAUCAUUAAUUGCGGUAUGCUCUGCAAAUGUGUUCUGGUCAUCAUGAUUUUCUGGUAGAUUAAUUAACCUUUUCUUUUUCUCUGUUUUACUGAGAGACCUAUAGUUUUUGUUGUUGAAAUCUGCAUCCCUUAUAAAUUAUGAAGUAUGGUCUGCAAGAAACUGUUCUAGAGCAGCCACGGCAAUUAAUACUCAGCAUUGAGCGCAUCUACAGUAUAUUGGUUAUGUUAAUCGUGUGGACAUGCUAGAUUUCAUGCUGCUGACAGUUUCUUGCAACCAUAUUAUCAGAAGUAUCAUGUUGUGGCUUAUUUACCUGGGACUAGCUUCUCAUGUACUCUCUCCGUAGAGAAAUAUAAGAGCAUUUGGAUCACUACUUUAGUGAUCUAAAUGCUCUUAUAUUUCUUUACAGAGGGAGUAAUAUCCUUUUAGUAACGGUCUUCCAACUUCUGUGCAUUACAAAAAGGAGCAGACCUCAUUUAUAUUUGAAUGAUAAGGUGUUUUUCCUGGCAAAGAGACAAUUGCACUGCUAGAUAAAUGCUCAACACCUAAAUUUGAUAUGGAGUUUUUCUAUUCUACAAGUUAAAAUUAUCGAUAUUGUUCAAUUUAUCUGAAUGCUAACUCUAGGUAAGAGGCACAUUUAUUCUCAGCAAUUUAAACAGUACUACACCAAGUUUAUUUGCAGUAGAUACAAACAAGAAUAUACAUGAAGAUUGACUUUCUUUCUACAUGUUUUGUAUUUCAUCUGCUAACCUCUGUAGCAAUUUUUUCGUUGACCACAAUUUCUGUAGUCUGUAACAAUUUUUAUUCGCGAGUAUGUUCAUAUCAGUCAAUAUAAUGCACCUCGCACUUAUUUACCUAGAAGGUAAUUGCCGCAAAAUUUAUGAAAGUAAUAUUGGUUGUGUGCAGCAAUAAUAUUGUCACUCUCUGUUGCUCCUUUCAAACGUUGUAAUUGUUGAAAACUUUCAUGAAUGAUAAUCAUGAUAUAACUGUAAUGUACACUUGCAAAAUUUGAUGAAAUAGUAUGGUCUCACGUGCUUUGCACAAAAAAGAGAGCGGCAACAGGAGAUUCGUGUGGCUGUUACAUGGGAAAGAAGGAUGGCGUCGGGAGAAGGUGGAUGUGCAGAAAUGGCAGCAGAUCGUGGCCAUGGGGAGGUUUGUAGUGGGGUCGGAGUUCCAUGGCUUCCUCGUGCUCCCUGUCAAGUUUCUGGUGGAGAUGCCUCAUUACUGCACCAGUGCCAGCCUACUUUCUCUCGGAUGCCAUAGCAACUACAAGUCUUGGACACGAUGGAUAGGUCAAAUGGGGAGGUCCGAAGGUGUAGCUCAAGUGUAUCUGUAUUUGUGUCUCAUAAUUGUCCAGGAACUUUGAUUUUUUCAAUAUCUGUAUCUGGUUAUAAACCCAUAGUGAUGUACAUUGGGAAUGUUUGUGGAGGCUACAAAUUUAACCAAAUCUAUGAAGUUUAUGUGUA